Molecule: long non-coding RNA, 927 nt
Filed under: Equus caballus (horse)
Lineage: Eukaryota; Metazoa; Chordata; Mammalia; Perissodactyla; Equidae
Description: lncRNA (ENSECAG00000057559.1)
Source: RNAcentral
CAAAUUUCAGGGCCAUCUGUAUUGUGGUGGUUUCUUUAUAGUCAAGGUUACCCACGUCAGGCCGGGGACAAACUCCACUUCUGGCCUUCCUGCCCAGCUAGCCUGAAGGAUGGGAAUCGGGCAGUCAGCGCCUUCUGGGAAACGGCCUCGUGAAGACACAGUCAGCCUUGAAAUUCAGGUGCCGAGACCAGACACAGGUCUGGGCAGAAAUAAAGAAAUUUGAACAGGUGUCCCAAGCGUUUCUGCCAGGAGGGGACUAGCCUUGAGAAACUCUUCAUUGAUUUUUUAAAUACUUGCCCAUUGGUCUUCACAAACCAUCGCGCUAUUCAGCUGCUGAAAUGCUGUGGCGUGCAAACUUUCUGUCUUCGAUUGCCGCCCACAUUCGAAAGCCGCGCAGAAAGCCCUGGUCCAGACAAACACGGAUUUGAACUUGAAACUGGAACCCCGUAACUAGGAAGAGAGGUGGAGCCGCUAUGACCAUGUGCCUCUGGGACCUGCUGCUCCAGUGCCUGUAAUUGAUCCAGGGCCCCAGUGCCAGCUCUGACAUCCCGCGGGCUGCUGCUCCCAGGCAAUGAUGGAGCAGAGGAACGACGCACCAAUGGCCCCGAGAACCUUCCAGACUGCACGGUGGUCUAGGAUGCUCCCACGAAAACUUCCUCCCCCUUCUCUUCUUCAUUCAGGGUCUGAUGGCCCUCCUAACCAUCUCUGGAUCCCUCCCUAUUUUUUUCACAUCUUUCCCCUAAUAAAAUCCUUCUGCUUUAAAUCUCAUUUUAGCCUCUUCUUUUAGGAGAACCAGGACUCACACAAAAGGUUUUGAUAAAGAGAUUAAUGGUGUAACAAGUGUAACAGGGAUCGCAUUUUUGGACCAUCCUUUGGUGAGAAGCCAGCUUCUCUCCUCGCGCUCUGUCCACCUUCCGGUCUGAGGCG